UAGGGAAUCUUCGGCAAUGGGGGGAACCCUGACCGAGCAACGCCGCGCGAGUGAAGAAGGUUUUCGGAUCGUAAAGCUCUGUUGUUAAGGAAGAACGAGUGUGAGAAUGGAAAGUUCAUACUGUGACGGUACUUAACCAGAAAGGGACGGCUAACUACGUGCCAGCAGCCGCGGUAAUACGUAGGUCCCGAGCGUCGUCCGGAUUUAUUGGGCGUAAAGCGAGCGCAGGCGGUUAGAUAAGUCUGAAGUUAAAGGCAGUGGCUCAACCAUUGUAGGCUUUGGAAACUGUUUAACUUGAGUGCAGAAGGGGAGAGUGGAAUUCCAUGUGUAGCGGUGAAAUGCGUAGAUAUAUGGAGGAACACCGGUGGCGAAAGCGGCUCUCUGGUCUGUAACUGACGCUGAGGCUCGAAAGCGUGGGGAGCGAACAGG
This 429-nucleotide ribosomal RNA is filed under the name Bacteroidota bacterium. RNAcentral describes it as "Bacteroidetes bacterium partial 16S ribosomal RNA". It matches the Rfam family "Bacterial small subunit ribosomal RNA", at positions 355 to 776 of the family's 1533-position model. Lineage: Bacteria; Pseudomonadati; Bacteroidota. The record is from RNAcentral.